UACGUAGGGUGCAAGCGUUGUCCGGAAUUAUUGGGCGUAAAGAGCUCGUAGGCGGUCUGUCACGUCUGCCGUGAAAACCCGAGGCUUAACCUCGUGGCUUGCGGUGGAUACGGGCAGACUAGAGGUAGGUAGGGGAGAAUGGAAUUCCCGGUGUAGCGGUGAAAUGCGCAGAUAUCGGGAGGAACACCGGUGGCGAAGGCGGUUCUCUGGGCCUUACCUGACGCUGAGGAGCGAAAGCGUGGGGAGCGAACAGG
This 254-nucleotide ribosomal RNA is filed under the name uncultured bacterium. RNAcentral's name for it is "partial 16S ribosomal RNA". It matches the Rfam family "Bacterial small subunit ribosomal RNA", at positions 524 to 776 of the family's 1533-position model. The record is from RNAcentral.